GGGGCAGGACGGAGUGAGCGGUGUUUCUCCUGUUGGCGGCUGAGGUAACGUGCAAGGUAUAGCGAUUUCCCUAUGGUGCAAGGUCACGCAAGAACGCAACUAUUGCGUUAUAGGAGAACUACCUGUACAUCAAAGUAAGAAUCCAAAAACAGCCUUUUACGUGGAAUAGAUUUAUUUACAGAGUGAAACACUUUAGUUUGAAGAGGAGAGUGUUAUUUGCCACACCUAUUUCUCAGGCGCUGCUUCUCUGUGGCUGUUUGGAAACCCUCAGUACAUUACCAUGAUCUGAAAACUUUGAUCUGUGGAAAAGCAAUACUCACCGGUAACAUUGGUUGUCAACCAAUGUCCAGAGUUCAAGGAAAGAGGGAGUUGCAUGUAGGCGAUGGAAGGGUCGAAAUUUGAAGCAAAGUUGUGGCUACACCAUCUGGAAAUUUCAAAGCUAAGUUUGCUCGUUAUUUGGAGUUGGUGUAAAGGAAAAUGGAAAGAAGGAAAAUGGAGCUGAGAUACAGAUCGGUUAUGAUCCAGUUGAGAGGCUGCACCUUCUCGCAGGACUGAAUGUUUUCUUUAUUCCUUUGUUCCACUAUUUUAUUAUUCAAGUAAUAAAACCCAGAACUCUUA
This is a long non-coding RNA of Rhincodon typus (whale shark), 618 nucleotides long. RefSeq lists it as uncharacterized. The transcript is spliced from 4 exons. NCBI's taxonomy places the organism in Eukaryota, Metazoa, Chordata, Chondrichthyes, Orectolobiformes, Rhincodontidae. The record is from RefSeq and is a predicted model, not a curated record.